AUAACUGUGGGUUUGCCCUAGCUAAAGAUCCAGCCGAUGAGGAGGCCUUCUCUCUCUAGGUGGAUUAUGGUGAACUUCUGGUGUUGUUGCACCCGAAAGAACCAUGGGCUCAGACCUGACAAUGGGCUCAGGGUUCACAGCACGAACAGGUGAGGAGGUGGUAUCAGCUUGUGCUGGGCAAAGAGGUAUCUCAGCCGCCAGCAGUAAUGGAGGAGAACAGCCAGGAACAGGUAAUUCUUGAUUCGGUGUCUCACCAGAAGAGGUGAAGUCAGACCACUCAACUGCAGAUGUGUCCUGAGGACUGGCAUGACCUGGCAACAGCUGAUCUACAUGUCCCCACCAGGCAUCUCCCAGCAAUGGAACCAACAUGAUCAUCCAGGGCCAGCUCCAGGCACCAGGCGACCAAGCACGUGCUUGGGGUGGCACCUUGGGGCAGGGCAGCUCUCAGGACCUUGCUGAUCAAGGGCAUUGGAGGAAAGGCAUAUAGCACCUGGCCAACCAGGACAGAAGGAAGGCGUCAGAGAUCAAGCCCUUGCCCAGGCUCCUCCUGGAGCAAAACUGGGGGCACCUGCGGUGCCCCACGUUUGGACGAUCAUGUGCGCCACCUCCGGGUGCAGUGGCCACUCGUGCUGGGACGAGAAGUCCCUGCUCAGGCGAUCUGCUCAAGAGUUCCGGAUGCCAACUGUUCAUUCUAUUUUGCCAGGUGACCCGAUGUGGAUCAAAACUUACUGAAAGACUCCACUUCAACCACAGUGGCUAGAACCGUUCGAUACUAUCCUGGUGAGCCCUACUGCUGUUUGGGUCAAGGAACUUCCCACUUGGAUUCAUCAUACCAGAGUCAAACGGAGCCUCGCUAGGGAGCCCGACCUGGUAAAGGGUUCCCCAGAAGCAGACAGCAUCGGACUUCGAGGGAGCCACGCAUGUUAACCCCACCGCGAACCGGGUGAGCCAGAAGCAGACUACCUCCCUGCCCAGGACAAAUGGACUGCUACCCCUUUGGGUGACCUGAGAUUAAAAUUCAAGAAGUAUACUGGUGCCCAUUCCCCAAGGAAUGGCAGCGAAUAAUCGCCUGGGGAGUUGGUGGACUCAUUUGUGUAUUGUUUGUUUUUCUUUUGUGGUGGUUGGACUAACUAGGGGAUACAAACAUAAGGCCUUUAUUCGCUUUCCUCAUGAAAUGAAAGCCCGUAUGCCAGCACUGAAUAACAUUUUGUGUUGGGUAUGCUCCUUAAUGCCAGUAGAUCGUCACUGAGGUCUUCCCAUGAUCCCCAUACCUCUUAGCCCUAUGAAUAUGACAUGGACUCCUUCAUGGAAGGACUCCUCAGGCUUGCAGAACCUAACCUGGGCAGAUUCAGGAAUCAGAUUAAUAGAUACCUUAUGGUGUGGAAGCGACCUGGUGAAUGGUGUUUCCUGGGCUCAGGAAAUGUGCCUGUAGGAAUUAGCAAUUGUAAAGUCUAUUUUAAUGGAACCCAUUUUGGUGAAAGACGGGGACCUGAUUGUACUCUUGUACAAGGUUUACCCUGACCUGGAAAGUCCUGGUAUGUUUUCCCUGCUAACUUUUGCAGCUUGUUUAAUCGGUUGGUAUUGGAUAAACCUUAUGUAUUUACCAUGUGUAUACGUUGCUUUAUAGCACCAGAUCUAUUGCACACUAAUUGCACCGCAGUGCUCGAGCAUUCAGAGAUCAUUCACAUACGCUGCAUAAAAAAGCAUUCUUUUAAUUCUUCAAGUACUGAAUACUCUAUGUCAGUGUACUGAUAAUGCUACUAAUAGUUUUCAGUCUCUCUGCCUGGACUGGAUGGUAUUACAAACCCCAAUAUACUGCAUGUAUUAUAUCUAAUCCCUUGUUUAGAGUCUAU
This is a long non-coding RNA of Mauremys reevesii (Reeves's turtle), 1853 nucleotides long. RefSeq lists it as uncharacterized. The transcript has 4 exons. NCBI's taxonomy places the organism in Eukaryota, Metazoa, Chordata, Testudines, Geoemydidae. The record is from RefSeq and is a predicted model, not a curated record.